This 253-nucleotide ribosomal RNA is filed under the name uncultured bacterium. Its description in RNAcentral is "partial 16S ribosomal RNA". It matches the Rfam family "Bacterial small subunit ribosomal RNA", at positions 524 to 776 of the family's 1533-position model. The record is from RNAcentral.
UACGUAGGGGGCAAGCGUUGUUCGGAAUUACUGGGCGUAAAGGGCUCGUAGGCGGCCAACUAAGUCAGACGUGAAAUCCCUCGGCUUAACCGGGGAACUGCGUCUGAUACUGGUUGGCUUGAAUCCGGGAGAGGGAUGUGGAAUUCCAGGUGUAGCGGUGAAAUGCGUAGAUAUCUGGAGGAACACCGGUGGCGAAGGCGGCAUCCUGGACCGGUAUUGACGCUGAGGAGCGAAAGCCAGGGGAGCAAACGGG